GAUCCUGGCUCAGGAUGAACGUUAGCGACAGGCCUAACACAUGCAAGUCGAGGGGCAGCGGGGAGGUAGCAAUACCUUUGCCGGCGACCGGCGCACGGGUGAGUAACACGUAUGCAAUCCACCUGUAACAGGGGGAUAACCCGGAGAAAUCCGGACUAAUACCCCAUGAUAUGGGCUCUCCGCAUGGAGGGUCCAUUAAAGAGAGCAAUCUUGGUUACAGACGAGCAUGCGCUCCAUUAG
This 240-nucleotide ribosomal RNA is filed under the name uncultured bacterium. Its description in RNAcentral is "partial 16S ribosomal RNA". It matches the Rfam family "Bacterial small subunit ribosomal RNA", at positions 15 to 244 of the family's 1533-position model. The record is from RNAcentral.